GUGAAACCCUGUGGGAAGCAGGAGGGACCACCCUCCAAGGCUAAAUACUACCUAGUGACCGAUAGCGUAUAGUACCGUGAGGGAAAGGUGAAAAGAACCCCGAGAGGGGAGUGAAAUAGAACCUGAAACCCUGCACUUACAAGCUGUGGAAGCACAUUUCUUGUGUGACCGCGUACUUUUUGUAGAACGGGCCAACGAGUUACGU
RNAcentral lists this ribosomal RNA (205 nucleotides) under Clostridioides difficile. RNAcentral's name for it is "partial 23S ribosomal RNA". It matches the Rfam family "Bacterial large subunit ribosomal RNA", at positions 426 to 633 of the family's 2925-position model. Lineage: Bacteria; Bacillati; Bacillota; Clostridia; Peptostreptococcales; Peptostreptococcaceae. The record is from RNAcentral.